AUGUCUUCCUCCGGCUCCUUCUCGCCUAGUCUCAAUAGUCAGAUUACAGAGAAGCUGUCUCGCACGAAUUACGUGUUGCGGCGCACGCAGAUCACACCUCAGCUGCGCGGUGCCGGUGUCUUCGGCUACGUCGACGGCACCAACCAGGAGCCGGCCAAGCUCCUCGUCACCACCAAGGAUGGCAAGGAGACUUCAUCGCCCAACCCUCUCCACCCUGUGUGGGUACGGAAGGAUCUCCAGGUCCUUGGCUACCUGCUGAAUAACCUCAUGAAAGAGGUCCUGGUGACGGUGACCACGGUCACCACGGCAAGCGUGCUCUGGACGAUGCUUGCUGCCAUGUUCUCGUCACAAUCGGCGAGUCGCGUUAACAACAUCCGCACCUUCCUCAUCAACGCGCAGAAGGGUAACCUCUCGGUUGCCGCCUACUUCGCCGCCAUGCGUGGCUAUGCCAACGAGCUGGCCACGGCGGGCAAGGCUAUCCAGGAUGAUGAGCUUGUCUCGUACAUCAUUCAUGGGUUGGAUGCGGACUAUCAGCCUUUGGUGUCGGCUCUCGAUGCCCGUGUCACCCCUAUGACUCUUGAUGAGCUCUUCGCCAUGAUGUCCAACUUCGACCAGCGCGUGGCCCAGUAUCACGGCUCCGGCGGCUUCAAGUCUUCUGCAAACAUGGCGUCUUGCGGUCGGGGCGGUGGAUCCCGCUCGCGUGGCUCUCCCCGCAACAAGGGGCGAUCUGGUGGUAGCGGCGUGAACGACCGCGGCUACUCUCCUCAGCGUUCGGGCGGCCGAGGACGCGGUCGCGGGCGUGGCGGCGGCAACAGAACACGCCCGAAGACCCCAAGGUGCCAGAUCUACAGGAAGCCGGGACACACAGCAAAAGAUUGCUGA
RNAcentral lists this ribosomal RNA (882 nucleotides) under Triticum aestivum (bread wheat). Its description in RNAcentral is "partial small subunit ribosomal RNA". Lineage: Eukaryota; Viridiplantae; Streptophyta; Magnoliopsida; Poales; Poaceae. The record is from RNAcentral.